CCCUUAGAUGUUCUGGGCCGCACGCGUGCUACACUGACCGGCGCAACAAGCUUCUUUCCUUGGCUCGAUAGGCCUGGGUAAUCUUUGAACGCCGGUCGUGAUGGGGAUAGAUCCUUGCAAUUUUUGAUCUUCAACGAGGAAUUCCUAGUAAAUGCGAGUCAUCAUCUCGCGUUGAUUACGUCCCUGCCCUUUGUACACACCGCCCGUCGCACCUACCGAUUGAAUGGUCCGGUGAAGCCUCGGGAUUGCGAAUGCUUCGUGCGGACGCGAGAACUUGGCUAAACCUUACCAUUUAGAGGAAGGUGAAGUCGUAACA
Molecule: ribosomal RNA, 316 nt
Filed under: uncultured eukaryote
Lineage: Eukaryota
Description: partial 18S ribosomal RNA
Rfam family: Eukaryotic small subunit ribosomal RNA
Source: RNAcentral